AGGACUUGAGAAUGAUCUGGCUACAACAUCUGUCACCCCAUUGAUUGCCAGGGCUGAUUUGGUGGAUCCAGCCUGCUGGGUGGGCACCCCCUUCCUCCUUCCCUGCCCUGUGUGCUCCCCCCCAUAGAGGAGGACCGUGCUUGGGUUGAGGCUUUACGAGCUGCUGUGUUACCCUGCUAGAACUUCAAGCAAGCUCUCAAGGCCCAUUUGUAAGAGAAUGGAGGGUAGUCAGGCUUCCAAGUUUCCAGACACAUCCAGAUGAGGUGCUGUAUGUGGCUGUGUGCCUUUCA
RNAcentral lists this small nuclear RNA (290 nucleotides) under Vulpes vulpes (red fox). RNAcentral's name for it is "7SK RNA (ENSVVUG00000000744.1)". It matches the Rfam family "7SK RNA". From Rfam's summary of the family: 7SK was discovered as an abundant small nuclear RNA in the mid-70s but a possible function has only recently been suggested. Lineage: Eukaryota; Metazoa; Chordata; Mammalia; Carnivora; Canidae. The record is from RNAcentral.